Molecule: long non-coding RNA, 413 nt
Organism: Pipra filicauda (Wire-tailed manakin)
Lineage: Eukaryota; Metazoa; Chordata; Aves; Passeriformes; Pipridae
Exons: 3
Source: RefSeq, a predicted model, not a curated record
CUUACCUUUAUGACAUCUUCAUCAGCUGAUUUGCACUCGAUGGAGUCUGAAACGUCCACCACGGACCCGUCCUCCUGCACGGCAACGACCUUGACUGGAACUGACACCAUUCUGCCCGUCAGAAUGGCCGUGUUAAGGACCUCUGUGUCCUGCAUGCACAGACAAAGGGAGGAUGGGUGUUAGAGAAGCACAAAACCACGAGAAUGAACCAACCCUGCCUCUGAUAGGGACAGGCUCAGAGGUUUGGCUGCAGUGGCAAUGAAAUCUGUGAUGCAAUGAGGCACAAAGGCCUGUCUGCAGCUCAGGAGAACCACAGCACUACUCGGAUUGAUGGAGAAUAAUGGGCAUUGACCACAAGCUAAGGACAGCUGGAGAAGACCAAUAAAUACUUGCAACUAAGAUGUAUUAUUAAU